RNAcentral lists this long non-coding RNA (223 nucleotides) under Setaria italica (foxtail millet). Its description in RNAcentral is "long non-coding RNA (SITA_LNC001216)". Lineage: Eukaryota; Viridiplantae; Streptophyta; Magnoliopsida; Poales; Poaceae. The record is from RNAcentral.
GGAGACAAAGAUAGUGUUUGCCAAAGAAUUUUGUUGUUUAAUAAACUGUGGGUGAUAACCCGAGUACAUGUCUUGUAGUCUGCUACGGGUAGUAGCGACAUAGAUUCUCUAUAUUCCAAGAGUUUGGUACUUCUUCGCCUGAGAGUUCCUGUAGUCGGUACGAUCCAGGCCCUGUGACCUUGGAUAUGACGUAGGGACCUUACCAUGGCGAGUUGAGUUUGUG